RNAcentral lists this transfer RNA (66 nucleotides) under Paromalus flavicornis. Its description in RNAcentral is "tRNA-Asp". It matches the Rfam family "tRNA". Rfam says of the family: Transfer RNA (tRNA) molecules are approximately 80 nucleotides in length. Lineage: Eukaryota; Metazoa; Arthropoda; Insecta; Coleoptera; Histeridae. The record is from RNAcentral.
AAAAAUUUAGUUAAACCUAAUAACAUUAGCUUGUCAAGCUAAAAUUACUCUUCAAAGUAAUUUUUA